AUGUUCUUGAACAAGGGGGAAGAAAUCAACAUUGAAAGAGUUCAUAGGACACCCUCUACACUAAAUCCUCAAAAUAAUUUACACUUGCUUCUAUCAGAUGGAGAGAAUAAGAGAAGCUCCAUAAUUCAAGAAAAAGCACUGGAGAUCAAAUGCUUACAGUCUAAUAGGCUGGAGGUGGUUUGGACCUAUUUUGUUCAUUUUAAGAGAGUAAAUAUACAGGAGGGAAAUGGUAAUACACUAAGUCAAAACCAAGGAUUUUUUUUUUUUAAUAAUUGGAGUAUGCCCAAAUACAAGUAUAUGAAUAUGGAGAAAGUGGUGAGGGUGGGAGGUAGGCAUCUAAUGAGCCUUGUAUCAGUAGAUUGAACACACAUAUACAUACAAGGAAUUUGGUGUGGAAAUGCAUAAAAUUCAACAGGGUAUUGGAUGGGGACAGUGAGAGGAGAAAGGGAAGUUUGAGAAGGAAGGAAUAGUUCUAAGAAAAAUUAACUUCAAGGAUACUUAUUUGCUACAAGUGAGUACCUCUAUGCAGAGCAAGGGUGGUGGUGUGGAUAAUUCAUAAGUAGUGGUUGUGAUAAAAAAAAAGAAGAAAAGAAGAGUAUCAAUGAAAUAUUUGAAAAUAUAGAGAACAGAGCAAGGAGAAGGGAACACAGAAAAGCAUAACAAAUAAGUUUAAAAAAACUAUUAUUUUAAUUUAAUAUGCAUUUAAGAAUGUAUAUGAUAGAAACUCAUAGUUUCUUACAUAAUCCUCUUUUUCUAUUAUUGGUAUAUAGAAAUGUUCAUGCUGGUUGAUAUUUGUUAAGGUCCUAUUUAAAAAAAAUAUUUUGAGAAAGACCAAUGGAUUUGGUGUAAGAGGAUCUGGACUGAGAGUUCUUGCUUUGCUACUGAGCUGUGAGACCUCAGACAAGUCACUGAAGCUUCUUCAGUAUUAGUUUCCAUAGGUGCAAAAUGAGGAAAUUGGACUAAUGACCUUUGUGGUCCUUUCAGCUCUAAUCCUCUAAACCAAAAUCUUUUUUUAAUAAAAAAAUUUUAUUUAUUUAUUUAUAAAACCUU
RNAcentral lists this long non-coding RNA (1050 nucleotides) under Monodelphis domestica (gray short-tailed opossum). RNAcentral's name for it is "lncRNA (ENSMODG00000042886.1)". The record is from RNAcentral. Lineage: Eukaryota; Metazoa; Chordata; Mammalia; Didelphimorphia; Didelphidae.